CGCGUAGGCGGCCUGGUAAGUCUGGAGUGAAAGUCCUGCUUUUAAGGUGGGAAUUGCUUUGGAUACUGUCGGGCUUGAGUGCAGGAGAGGUAAGUGGAAUUCCCGGUGUAGCGGUGAAAUGCGUAGAGAUCGGGAGGAACACCAGUGGCGAAGGCGACUUACUGGACUGUAACUGACGCUGAGGCGCGAAAGUGUGGGGGAGCAAACA
Molecule: ribosomal RNA, 208 nt
Filed under: uncultured bacterium
Lineage: Bacteria
Description: partial 16S ribosomal RNA
Rfam family: Bacterial small subunit ribosomal RNA
Source: RNAcentral